GGGGCUUGUUAGAGAUUUUUUCUGCCCCUUGAGAUUUGAAUCCGCUCUAACACAAGUCAUGCAUGACCACGAUGAUGAGUUGGAGGGUUUCCCUCUGAGUGCGAAGCGGCUUGGAGUAUUUUAUCUUCUCGAUAAUUCGCUCAUUGUCAUUGGCGACCGGUCAUCUUUUCCUUUGUUAGGAAAAUGAUGAGGGAAAAUAAUUCUGAGUGGU
Non-coding RNA from Strongylocentrotus purpuratus (purple sea urchin), 211 nucleotides. The record is from Rfam. NCBI's taxonomy places the organism in Eukaryota, Metazoa, Echinodermata, Echinoidea, Camarodonta, Strongylocentrotidae.